GCGGAGGAAAAGAAACCAACAGGGAUUGCCCUAGUAACGGCGAGUGAAGCGGCAACAGCUCAAAUUUGAAAUCUGGCCCUUUCAGGGUCCGAGUUGUAAUUUGUAGAGGGUGCUUUGGCGUUGGCUGCGGUCUAAGUUCCUUGGAACAGGACGUCACAGAGGGUGAGAAUCCCGUACGUGGCCGCCAGUCUUCGCCGUGUAAAGCCCCUUCGACGAGUCGAGUUGUUUGGGAAUGCAGCUCUAAAUGGGAGGUAAAUUUCUUCUAAAGCUAAAUACUGGCCAGAGACCGAUAGCGCACAAGUAGAGUGAUCGAAAGAUGAAAAGCACUUUGGAAAGAGAGUCAAAAAGCACGUGAAAUUGUUGAAAGGGAAGCGCUUGCAGCCAGACUUGCCUGUAGUUGCUCAUCCGGGCUCUUGCCCGGUGCACUCUUCUGCGGGCAGGCCAGCAUCAGUUCGAGCGGCCGGAUAAAGACCUCUGUCACGUAUCUUCCUUCGGGAUGACCUUAUAGGGGAGGUGUAAUGCGGCCAGCUCGGAUUGAGGUCCGCGCAUCUGCUAGGAUGCUGGCGUAAUGGCUGUAAGCGGCCCGUCUUGA
RNAcentral lists this ribosomal RNA (592 nucleotides) under Fusarium sp. RNAcentral's name for it is "partial large subunit ribosomal RNA". It matches the Rfam family "Eukaryotic large subunit ribosomal RNA", at positions 50 to 657 of the family's 3401-position model. Lineage: Eukaryota; Fungi; Ascomycota; Sordariomycetes; Hypocreales; Nectriaceae. The record is from RNAcentral.